This 440-nucleotide ribosomal RNA is filed under the name uncultured bacterium. Its description in RNAcentral is "partial 16S ribosomal RNA". It matches the Rfam family "Bacterial small subunit ribosomal RNA", at positions 338 to 795 of the family's 1533-position model. The record is from RNAcentral.
CCUACGGGAGGCAGCAGUGGGGGAUAUUGCACAAUGGGGGAAACCCUGAUGCAGCGACGCCGCGUGAGGGAAGAAGUAUUUCGGUAUGUAAAGCUCUAUCAGCAGGGAAGAAAAUGACAGUACCUGACCAAGAAUCCCCUGCUAACUACGUGCCAGCAGCCGCGGUAAUACGUCGGGGGCGAGCGUUAUCCGGAUUUACUGGGUGUACAGUGAGCGUAGACGGUUAUGUAAGUCUGGAGUGAAAGCCCGGGGCUCAACCCCGGGACUGCUUUGGAAACUGUGGAACUGGAGUACAGGAGGGGAUGGUGGAAUUCCUGGUGUAGCGGUGAAAUGCGUAGAUAUCAGGAGGAACAUCGGCGGCGAAGGCGGCUUGCUGGAAUGAAACUGACGUUGAGGAUCGAAAGCGUGGGGAGCAAACAGGAUUAGAUACCCUUGUAGUC